GAUGAACGCUAGCUACAGGCUUAACACAUGCAAGUCGAGGGGAAACGACAUCGAAAGCUUGCUUUUGAUGGGCGUCGACCGGCGCACGGGUGAGUAACGCGUAUCCAACCUGCCCACCACUUGGGGAUAACCUUGCGAAAGUAAGACUAAUACCCAAUGAUAUCUCUAGAAGACAUCUGAAAGAGAUUAAAGAUUUAUCGGUGAUUGAUGGGGAUGCGUCUGAUUAGCUUGUUGGCGGGGUAACGGCCCACCAAGGCUACGAUCAGUAGGGGUUCUGAGAGGAAGGUCCCCCACGUUGGAACUGAGACACGGUCCAAACUCCUACGGGAGGCAGCAGUGAGGAAUAUUGGUCAAUGGGCGAGAGCCUGAACCAGCCAAGUAGCGUGCAGGAUGACGGCCCUAUGGGUUGUAAACUGCUUUUAUAGGGGAAUAAAGUGAGCCUCGUGAGGCUUUUUGCAUGUACCUUAUGAAUAAGGACCGGCUAAUUCCGUGCCAGCAGCCGCCGUAA
This 508-nucleotide ribosomal RNA is filed under the name uncultured bacterium. RNAcentral describes it as "partial 16S ribosomal RNA". It matches the Rfam family "Bacterial small subunit ribosomal RNA", at positions 28 to 523 of the family's 1533-position model. The record is from RNAcentral.